AACAACGUGAAAAAACCAUUUUUUGGAUCUUUCCCGGACCGUAAGUGCAAGCGGUCAGUGUAAUCCUCAUCAGUCAGGCUGCACAUGAACGUGAGCACAGCUUGUGAAAAACUGGGCUCUGGGGUGCAGCUUUUUCACAAAAGCCAUAUUGAUUAA
Thalassophryne amazonica is the source of this 156-nucleotide long non-coding RNA. RefSeq lists it as uncharacterized. The record is from RefSeq and is a predicted model, not a curated record. The transcript is spliced from 3 exons. NCBI's taxonomy places the organism in Eukaryota, Metazoa, Chordata, Actinopteri, Batrachoidiformes, Batrachoididae.